AACCGACACAGGUGGGUGGGAUGAGUAUUCUAAGGCGCGUGGAAGAACCCUCUUUAAGGAACUCUGCAAAAUAGCACCGUAUCUUCGGUAUAAGGUGUGCCUACUUUGGUAUAUGAACUUGCUUCAAAAAGCUAAAGAGGUUGCAACAAAGAGUCCCUCCCGACUGUUUACCAAAAACACAGCACUUUGCUAACACGUAAGUGGAUGUAUAAGGUGUGACGCCUGCCCGGUGCUCGAAGGUUAAUUGAUGAUGUCAGCGCAAGCGAA
Molecule: ribosomal RNA, 267 nt
Filed under: uncultured bacterium
Lineage: Bacteria
Description: partial 23S ribosomal RNA
Rfam family: Bacterial large subunit ribosomal RNA
Source: RNAcentral